Non-coding RNA from Phrynosoma platyrhinos (Desert horned lizard), 72 nucleotides. Lineage: Eukaryota; Metazoa; Chordata; Lepidosauria; Squamata; Phrynosomatidae. The record is from the annotation of a GenBank genome assembly.
AGAAGUUUAGUUUAAUGGUUUAAGCAUUGGGCUAUGACUCCGGAGACCAGGGUUCAAAUUCCUGCUCAUCCA